RNAcentral lists this ribosomal RNA (1287 nucleotides) under uncultured bacterium. Its description in RNAcentral is "bacterial SSU rRNA". It matches the Rfam family "Bacterial small subunit ribosomal RNA", at positions 89 to 1399 of the family's 1533-position model. The record is from RNAcentral.
AGAUGAGUGGCGAACGGGUGAGUAACGCGUGAGUAACCUGCCCUGGAGUGGGGGACAACAGUUGGAAACGACUGCUAAUACCGCAUAAGCCCACGGAUCCGCAUGGAUCUGCGGGAAAAGGAUUUAUUCGCUCUAGGAUGGACUCGCGUCCAAUUAGCUAGUUGGUGAGGUAACGGCCCACCAAGGCGACGAUUGGUAGCCGGACUGAGAGGUUGAACGGCCACAUUGGGACUGAGACACGGCCCAGACUCCUACGGGAGGCAGCAGUGGGGGAUAUUGCACAAUGGGGGAAACCCUGAUGCAGCGACGCCGCGUGGAGGAAGAAGGUUUUCGGAUUGUAAACUCCUGUCGUUAGGGACGAUAAUGACGGUACCUAACAAGAAAGCACCGGCUAACUACGUGCCAGCAGCCGCGGUAAAACGUAGGGUGCAAGCGUUGUCCGGAAUUACUGGGUGUAAAGGGAGCGCAGGCGGACCGGCAAGUUGGAAGUGAAAACUAUGGGCUCAACCCAUAAAUUGCUUUCAAAACUGCUGGCCUUGAGUAGUGCAGAGGUAGGUGGAAUUCCCGGUGUAGCGGUGGAAUGCGUAGAUAUCGGGAGGAACACCAGUGGCGAAGGCGACCUACUGGGCACCAACUGACGCUGAGGCUCGAAAGCAUGGGUAGCAAACAGGAUUAGAUACCCUGGUAGUCCAUGCCGUAAACGAUGAUUACUAGGUGUUGGAGGAUUGACCCCUUCAGUGCCGCAGUUAACACAAUAAGUAAUCCACCUGGGGAGUACGACCGCAAGGUUGAAACUCAAAGGAAUUGACGGGGGCCCGCACAAGCAGUGGAGUAUGUGGUUUAAUUCGAAGCAACGCGAAGAACCUUACCAGGUCUUGACAUCCGAUGCAUAGUGCAGAGAUGCAUGAAGUCCUUCGGGACAUCGAGACAGGUGGUGCAUGGUUGUCGUCAGCUCGUGUCGUGAGAUGUUGGGUUAAGUCCCGCAACGAGCGCAACCCUUAUUGCCAGUUACUACGCAAGAGGACUCUGGCGAGACUGCCGUUGACAAAACGGAGGAAGGUGGGGAUGACGUCAAAUCAUCAUGCCCUUUAUGACCUGGGCUACACACGUACUACAAUGGCGUUUAACAAAGAGAAGCAAGACCGCGAGGUGGAGCAAAACUCAAAAACAACGUCUCAGUUCAGAUUGCAGGCUGCAACUCGCCUGCAUGAAGUCGGAAUUGCUAGUAAUCGCGGAUCAGCAUGCCGCGGUGAAUACGUUCCCGGGCCUUGCACUCACCGCCCGUCA